RNAcentral lists this transfer RNA (72 nucleotides) under Alosa alosa (allis shad). RNAcentral describes it as "tRNA-OTHER". The record is from RNAcentral. Lineage: Eukaryota; Metazoa; Chordata; Actinopteri; Clupeiformes; Clupeidae.
GCCGUGGCCUACUGGUUAGCGCUUCGGACUAGUAAGCGGAGGGUUGCCGGUUCGAACCCCGACCAGUAGGCA